This 683-nucleotide small RNA is filed under the name Pongo abelii (Sumatran orangutan). RNAcentral describes it as "retained intron". The record is from RNAcentral. Lineage: Eukaryota; Metazoa; Chordata; Mammalia; Primates; Hominidae.
CUGGACAUUGGCGUAGAGCAUGUGAGUGACUGUGAGCGCCUGGCCAAGCAAUGCCAGUUGUGGGACCUGCUCAGCGACCUGGAGGCCAAGUGCGAGAAGGUGUCUGAGUUUGUGGCGUCUAAGCCAGGCACAUGUGUGAAGGUGCUGACCAUCGAGCCCCCCGCUGCAGACCCCCGCCUCCGGGAGGACAUGGCGCUGCUGGCCGAUUGUGCCCUGCCCCCCGAGCUCCGAGGUGAUCUUUGGGAGCUGCCCUUCCCUUGUCCUGACGGCUUCAACAGCUGCCCUGAUAUCUGCUUCCGAGUGGCUGGCCGCAGCUUCCUCUGCCACAAGGUGCUUGUGCCCUCCUGUUGCCCCUGGCCCCAACCCGUUGCCCUGAGCCCCCGUCUAGCUCCUCAGGAGACAGACCCUGGCCCUCACACUUCCUGAGCCCGGCCUCCCCCAGGCCUUUUUCUGUGGCCGCAGUGACUACUUCCGGGCCCUGCUGGAUGACCACUUCCGAGAGAGCGAAGAGCCAGCGACCUCAGGGGGCCCCCCAGCCGUCACCCUGCAUGGCAUCUCAUCUGACGUCUUCACUCACGUGCUCUACUACGUGUACAGCGACCACACUGAGCUGUCCCCCGAGGCAGCCUACGACGUGCUGAGCGUCGCCGACAUGUACCUGCUGCCAGGCCUGAAGAGGCUGU